UGCUGAGCUGGUACCAUGAAAG
This 22-nucleotide unclassified non-coding RNA is filed under the name Mus musculus (house mouse). RNAcentral's name for it is "oocyte_clustered_small_RNA14358". The record is from RNAcentral. Lineage: Eukaryota; Metazoa; Chordata; Mammalia; Rodentia; Muridae.